CGUCCAGAGCCGCCUCCGCGUCCAGGGUGGUGCGGCCGGUCGACGAGGACCUGUACCAGGUGCCUCCGCCGGAGCUCGCCUCCCGCCGGUACCGGCCAAGACGGAAGAGGAGCCUGUGGAUGGAGUGCCUGGGCCUCAACUCGUGCGUCGCCUGAACACUUGUGGAUGGGGUGCUUUGCCGCAUGCUCGUCCUUGACAAUUAAGGAGUAGACCGAUCGGCCGGUCGAAUGCUAGCUGUGUGUUUUGUUUUGUUUUGUGAUCUCUACGGCUGAUUAUGGCUUGUAAUGCUUUCUACUAGCUACUAGUUUUUGUUUCCAGCGCAAGUUGUACUCCAAGGCCAGCAGCAGGUCUGGUCUCGUGCCUAGGCUGGGCUUGGUCGAUGUGUGGAGAGUAUAGAUUAAGACUGACGUUCUUUGA
Non-coding RNA from Triticum urartu, 417 nucleotides. NCBI's taxonomy places the organism in Eukaryota, Viridiplantae, Streptophyta, Magnoliopsida, Poales, Poaceae. The record is from RefSeq and is a predicted model, not a curated record.